Molecule: long non-coding RNA, 1141 nt
Organism: Raphanus sativus (radish)
Lineage: Eukaryota; Viridiplantae; Streptophyta; Magnoliopsida; Brassicales; Brassicaceae
Exons: 3
Source: RefSeq, a predicted model, not a curated record
ACCCACCCAAAACAAAUCGGAUCGAAACCGAUUAUCUCCCCCAAACCCCGUCUCUCUUCUCUCUUUUGUAAAGUACAGAAAAAAUGGAAGAGGGAAACGCAGAGUACCGCUGCUUGGAGAGCUUGAGAUGGCCGGCCUUGAUCGACGAGCCUCCGAGAUGCGGAGAGGAAAUCAUCCCUGGCGGUGGUAGGCUUUUCGAGAACGAAAGUCUUAUUGGAGUCGAUGUCCAUCAUCUCCGUCUCGGAAUCAGCUUUCCUGGCGUAAUGCAUAUGUGAGAAAAUCAGGGGAGAAUCCAAGAGAGGAGUGAUGAUGAAGAAGAUGAUGUUCUUUCGCCCUUUCAACCUCCCGAUGGAAUUGAAUCGAAGAAUUUCUCAAUGGAAUUGUUGAUUGAACUAUUUAGAAAGAUGAGGAGAAGACUAUAGCCGUAAUCUUGUGUGGAGAGCGGCGAACACCUAAUCCUAAACCUUUAGGGACGCACACACUCCACUCCGCGGCUGCUUCAAUUCCUUGAUCCUCCUUUAAUUCCCUCGGCAUCGGUCUCGAUCUUCUAAGUCUUCCUGCAUGUUCCAAUCCAAACAUGGAGAACCUUCGAAGUUGUUUGCAGACUUCUCAACCUUCCUUGAUGCUUUGAGUUUGUUAAAGAUGUCGUCACUAUGCUCAUCCUCUUUCAAAGACGUGAAGAGAGAAUGCAGAAAAUGCAAUGUGGUCUGCAGGGAAUCAACUUGGAGACAGCUCACAAUAGAGAGGUAGAAGUAGGAGAAAGCAACCAAGGUUGAGUUGGGAACACCUGAAGCGUUGGUUCCUUGUUCUUCAAGACGUGAAGAGAGACUAGACAAAAAAAGUUUUUUCUUGUUUUGUUUGAUGUUUCUGUGUGUCUCAUCAUCUUCUUCUUCCUUUGUCUCAAAGAGAGGAUUCUAUUAGAUUUUGAAUCUCUGGUUCUGUACAUUUCAUAGUUUAGUGAUGAUAUGGAGCUUGCAAGUUCACAGUGAUGGUAAGGACUACAUGAAGCCCAUUAACCCUUACUUCUCGCUUGGCAAAAGAUUAUUAAGAGGGAAAAUUGAAUAGUUACCCUUACUCAUAUUAAUUUUUUUUAAAACGUUUUAUGUUUUAUAAAGUUCGUUUUGUUUUGUUCAUAUUAAAA